RNAcentral lists this unclassified non-coding RNA (373 nucleotides) under uncultured fungus. RNAcentral's name for it is "sequence contains ITS1". The stretch from base 1 to 105 matches the Rfam family "5.8S ribosomal RNA", at positions 50 to 154 of the family's 154-position model. The record is from RNAcentral. Lineage: Eukaryota; Fungi.
GAAAUGCGAUACGUAGUGUGAAUUGCAGAAUUCCGUGAACCAUCGAAUCUUUGAACGCAUAUUGCGCUCGAGCCUUCGGGCAAGAGCACGCCUGCCUCAGGGUCAUGAGCACCUCACAACACCUACCCCUUUGGGGGUGGAUGGAGUGGACCUGGCAGUCUCACUUAGGCACUCAGCCUAGGUGGGUCUGCUGAAGUGCAGAAGACUAAGCAAGCUGCCGGACCUAGGAUUCAUUCUAGGCCCAAGGCGAGCGCCAGUAGAUGACCCUUGUGGUUGUACUAUCGCGCGUCUAAAGCGGCAUGCUAUGGUCUGAAGCAGGAUACCUUACUCAACAUUUGACCUGAGUUCAGACGAGACUACCCGCCGAACUUAA